UACGUAGGUGGCGAGCGUUGUCCGGAUUUACUGGGUGUAAAGGGCGCGUAGGCGGGCUUGCAAGUCAGAUGUGAAAUACCGGGGCUUAACCCCGGGGCUGCAUUUGAAACUGUGAGUCUUGAGUGUCGGAGAGGAAAGCGGAAUUCCUAGUGUAGCGGUGAAAUGCGUAGAUAUUAGGAGGAACACCAGUGGCGAAGGCGGCUUUCUGGACGAUAACUGACGCUGAGGCGCGAAAGUGUGGGGAGCAAACAGGAUUAGAUACCCUGGUAGUCCACACCGUAAACGAUGGAUACUAGGUGUAGGAGGUAUCGACCCCUUCUGUGCCGCAGUUAACACAAUAAGUAUCCCACCUGGGGAGUACGAUCGCAAGAUUGAA
This 376-nucleotide ribosomal RNA is filed under the name uncultured bacterium. RNAcentral describes it as "bacterial SSU rRNA". It matches the Rfam family "Bacterial small subunit ribosomal RNA", at positions 524 to 898 of the family's 1533-position model. The record is from RNAcentral.